CCUACGGGAGGCAGCAGUGGGGGAUAUUGCACAAUGGGGGAAACCCUGAUGCAGCGACGCCGCGUGGGUGAAGAAGUAUUUCGGUAUGUAAAGCCCUAUCAGCAGGGAAGAAAGAUGACGGUCCCUGACUAAGAAGCCCCGGCGAACUACGUGCCAGCAGCCGCGGUACUACGUAGGGGGCGAGCGUUAUCCGGAUUCACUGGGUGUAACGGGAGCGUAGACGGCCGUGCAAGCCAGGAGUGAAAGCCCGGGGCCCAACCCCGGGACUGCUCUUGAAACUGUGCGGCUUGAGUGCGGGAGGGGCAGGCGGAAUUCGUGGUGUAGCGGUGAAAUGCGUAGAUAUCAGGAGGAACACCGACGGCGAAGGCGGCCUGCUGGACCGCGACUGACGUUGAGGCUCGAAAGCGUGGGGAGCGAACAGGAUUAGAUACCCUGGUAGUC
Molecule: ribosomal RNA, 441 nt
Filed under: uncultured bacterium
Lineage: Bacteria
Description: partial 16S ribosomal RNA
Rfam family: Bacterial small subunit ribosomal RNA
Source: RNAcentral